CGGGGUACAUCUGCCGGAAACCUUAGUGCAUGUGAUUAGGCGACUCUAAAUAAAUAUAAUCCUUGGGGGCCGCGCCCCCGAGCACUAGCCAUUCUUCGCGGGUGGCGACACUACCAGUAUGCGGGAACUUUCGGUCUAUCUGGAUAACCCGCAGUCACUUUUGUGACUCACAGGCUAAAUGGUAGUGGGUAUGGCCGCCAAGGCAGCUAUGCUUCAGAUAUAGUCGGUCCCCAGAUAUCUCUGGGAGCCUUGUGGGUUCGUGCCCAUCUAAGAAUCACACAAGCGAGUCAACGUUCCGUAGGUGAACCUGCGGAAGGAUCAUUA
This 324-nucleotide ribosomal RNA is filed under the name Parmotrema xanthinum. Its description in RNAcentral is "partial 18S ribosomal RNA". The record is from RNAcentral. Lineage: Eukaryota; Fungi; Ascomycota; Lecanoromycetes; Lecanorales; Parmeliaceae.